RNAcentral lists this ribosomal RNA (305 nucleotides) under uncultured bacterium. RNAcentral's name for it is "bacterial SSU rRNA". It matches the Rfam family "Bacterial small subunit ribosomal RNA", at positions 335 to 632 of the family's 1533-position model. The record is from RNAcentral.
AGUCCUACGGGGGGCAGCAGUAGGGAAUUUUCGUCAAUGGGCGCAAGCCUGAACGAGCAAUGCCGCGUGAACGAGGAAGGUCUUCGGAUCGUAAAGUUCUGUUGAAGGGGAAAAAGAGCGGAGAGAGGAAAUGGUCUCCGAUUGAUAUUACCCUUCGAGGAAGUCACGGCUAACUACGUGCCAGCAGCCGCGGUAAUACGUAGGUGGCGAGCAUUAUCCGGAAUGAUUGGGCGUAAAGGGUGCGUAGGCGGCCUGCUAAGUCUGGAGUGAAAGCCCAGGGCUCAACCCUGGGACUGCUUUGGAAA